ACUCAAAUGAAUUGACGGGGGCCCGCACAAGCGGUGGAGCAUGUGGUUUAAUUCGAUGCAACGCGAAGAACCUUACCUACCCUUGACAUGUCCGGAAUCUGAGUGAAAGCUUGGAGUGCCGAAAGGAACCGGAACACAGGUGCUGCAUGGCUGUCGUCAGCUCGUGUCGUGAGAUGUUGGGUUAAGUCCCGUAACGAGCGCAACCCCUGUAUUUAAUUGCUAACAUUAAGUUGAGUACAUUAAAUAGACUGUCGGUGAUAAACCGGAGGAAGGUGGGGAUGACGUCAAGUCCUCAUGGCCCUUAUGGGUAGGGCUACACACGUGCUACAAUGGGCAGUACAGAGGGAAGCGAAGCCGCGAGGUGAAGCAAAUCUCAGAAAGCUGUUCGUAGUCCGGAUUGGAGUCUGCAACUCGACUCUAUGAAGCUGGAAUCGCUAGUAAUCGCGGAUCAGAAUGCUGCGGUGAAUACGUUCUCGGGCCUUGUACACACCGCCCGU
This 497-nucleotide ribosomal RNA is filed under the name uncultured bacterium. RNAcentral's name for it is "partial 16S ribosomal RNA". It matches the Rfam family "Bacterial small subunit ribosomal RNA", at positions 899 to 1397 of the family's 1533-position model. The record is from RNAcentral.